Molecule: non-coding RNA, 72 nt
Organism: Phyllosticta capitalensis
Lineage: Eukaryota; Fungi; Ascomycota; Dothideomycetes; Botryosphaeriales; Phyllostictaceae
Source: the annotation of a GenBank genome assembly
UCCAUCGUGGUGCAGUUGGUAGCACACCAGACCAAACGUCUGGAGGCCCGAGUUCGAUUCUCGGCGAUGGAA